Molecule: non-coding RNA, 1020 nt
Organism: Paramuricea clavata
Lineage: Eukaryota; Metazoa; Cnidaria; Anthozoa; Malacalcyonacea; Plexauridae
Source: the annotation of a GenBank genome assembly
GAAUGAAUGUUGCAUUGUAAUUUGCGUUUAGGUAAAAGUAGGCCGUACAGAAAUUGAUUUCCAUAUGCAAUUUCCCUGUCGCACAGAAUACAAUUUUUAACAAAAAAUAUCAGAAUACAAUCACACAUACCUUACGUAGAUGAUCCAAGCGAAACGAACGGCAAACAUCGACAAGGCAGCGUAAAUCGACGCGUAAACCAGGAGCAAUGUGUGGAACUGUUUAUGGGACCAGAACUAACCAGAAGCAGAAGGAAAUAGCAUAUUAGUGUGUAUUAGGAACUAGGACUUUCAUGCAACUGUUCCACCUGGCUUUUUCACUUAUCAAACGUUUCAAGUUAUGCAUGCUCGUUAAUAAGGCCAAAGACUGAACAUUUCAAUUUCGUUUUAUUUUAAAAUACGUCUUUCGUCGACAGUCUGGUAUAUCGUGUUGAUUUUUAAGUUUCUCAACCAUAGCCUAACUGUGCUUCUCGCAAUGGUGGGAAAGAGUGUAUCGCACGCAUCAAUAAAACACAAUAAAACAGUUUCUCGUCAGACGACGCAACAUGGUAAAGAUAGGUGCCUUUAUAGAUUUGGCCAUUGUAGAAACAUCAUCCAAGUUCUCUCUUACUGCCAGACCGUAAUAGUUCUGUAGGACAUCUAUCGUACCAUCUGUCAGCAUUCCCUUGCCAGACAUUUUUUUCCAUCGCUAAGCUUCACGCCUUUGUUGGUAUUCUUUAACUUCCGCAACCUGCUUCCGACUCGCUUUGAACAUGCCCAAUAGUACAAUCAGCAUAUCUAAUAGCUCAAGAUCGUUCUAUUACGUUGCCUUCCUUGUCUUCAGGAGGAUAUGGAUGCCUCCGCCUCCAGCUCUCUAAUUUCUUUGGGACACAGACACUCCCCUGGCAUGUCCUUGUAUUUGAUAUCCCCGAAAAUCCUAACAACGUCAACUGUUUCCAUACUGUUCGCACUUCCUGUACGGUUGAUCUUACACUGGUGGUUUGCUUUCCACUCUUCGUACCCUGGAUCAUUCUCCCUUUUCUG